This 503-nucleotide ribosomal RNA is filed under the name uncultured bacterium. Its description in RNAcentral is "partial 16S ribosomal RNA". It matches the Rfam family "Bacterial small subunit ribosomal RNA", at positions 30 to 523 of the family's 1533-position model. The record is from RNAcentral.
AUUGAACGCUGGCGGCAGGCUUAACACAUGCAAGUCGAGCGGGGUGAUGGUGCUUGCACUAUCACUUAGCGGCGGACGGGUGAGUAAUGCUUAGGAAUCUGCCUAUUAGUGGGGGACAACAUCUCGAAAGGGAUGCUAAUACCGCAUACGUCCUACGGGAGAAAGCAGGGGAUCACUUGUGACCUUGCGCUAAUAGAUGAGCCUAAGUCGGAUUAGCUAGCUGGUGGGGUAAAGGCCUACCAAGGCGACGAUCUGUAGCGGGUCUGAGAGGAUGAUCCGCCACACUGGAACUGAGACACGGCCCAGACUCCUACGGGAGGCAGCAGUGGGGAAUAUUGGACAAUGGGGGGAACCCUGAGCCAGCCAUGCCGCGUGUGUGAAGAAGGCCUUAUGGUUGUAAAGCACUUUAAGCGAGGAGGAGGCUCUUUUGGUUAAUACCCAAGAUGAGUGGACGUUACUCGCAGAAUAAGCACCGGCUAACUCUGUGCCAGCCGCCGCCGUAA